GUCUUUUAGAUUAUAAUUUAAAGUCUAACCUGCCCACUGAAAUUAUUUGAAGGGCCGCGGUAUUUUGACUGUGCAAAGGUAGCAUAAUCAUUAGUCUUUUAAUUGGAGGCUUGUAUGAAUGGUUGGAUGAAACAUUAACUGUCUCAAUUUAAAAAAAGUAGAAUUUAAUUUUUAAGUUAAAAAGCUUAAAUAAAAUUAGAGGACGAGAAGACCCUAUAGAUCUUUAUAAUUAAUAUUUUAUUAUUAAUGUAGAAAAUUAAUUUAUAUUAAUUUAUUAAUUAUUUUAUUGGGGUGAUAGAUAAAUUUAGUAAACUUUAUUUAAUAUAAACAUUAAUUUAUGAAUAUUUGAUCCAUUAAUAGUGAUUAUAAGAUUAAGUUACCUUAGGGAUAACAGCGUAAUUUUUUUAGAGAGUUCAUAUCGAUAAAAAAGUUUGCGACCUCGAUGUUGAAUUAAAGGUUAAUUUUACGUGUAGAAGUUUAAAAUUUUGGUCUGUUCGACCAUUAAAUC
RNAcentral lists this ribosomal RNA (508 nucleotides) under Protohermes dimaculatus. RNAcentral describes it as "partial 16S ribosomal RNA". It matches the Rfam family "Bacterial large subunit ribosomal RNA", at positions 1830 to 2594 of the family's 2925-position model. The record is from RNAcentral. Lineage: Eukaryota; Metazoa; Arthropoda; Insecta; Megaloptera; Corydalidae.